UGGUGGACCAACGAUAGUCUUAUUCCAGGAACAUCACAUGACAGAGAAAGAAAUGUCUAUCUUGGUCAGUGUUAUUGUCGCGAAAUGUAAACUUCCGGGACUUUUUUCAACCGACGAAUUGGAUGGUAUGAUAGCAUCAUUCAUAGAUUUGUCAAAGAGAGAUUUUCCUGGCACUUUGAAAGAAUAUUUUUAUUAUCGUAAGUAGUCCAUUAAAAUGUCUCGAACUUUUUAAUGGAACAUAAAAAAAAAUAAAGAAAGGAAAAAACAAGAUUUGAUCACAUCUGAGAUAUUGUGCAAUUAUUGGUCCAAGUAUUGGGAGUACCAUUGAUUGAAUUAGCAAUUAAAUAUAAUUCAAAUUAAUCAGAAACUUCUGAAAUAUUAUCUACGGACACACAAAUUAUGAUUAAAGCUCAUCUUCAAACUCUUAAGCAGCAGCACAUUCUAAACAGUUUUUUAGUGCUACCUUGUACAUUCCAACAUUUUCGUGAAAGUGAACAAGUUGAAAGUAUACUUGAUAGUCUCGGCGCUGAUAUAAGUAAAUUGAGAGAAACCGGCAAAUAUGUCGCUAAAUUGGAGGACGAAGCUUCUCAACAAAGACAAGAUUACAUUUCCUCGAAAAUUACGAGGAUGAUGAUAUAAGAAUAUACAAUUCUAAUUCAUUAGAUCGAAAAAGGAAGAGCUAAUUCGGCUUUAGAAAAGAUUACUGCAACAAUGAGAGGUACUACAGAGCAAUAUGGCGAGAGGACUAAUUUAAAAGCUGAGACCGAACGAGAAAACGCUGAGAUAGCAUAAAGAAAGCUAACAUUAUUCGAUCUUUUCGUGUAUCCUUACAUAUAAAGAAAAUUUGACGAUAAAAAUUAUAUUUUUAAAAAAGGUUGAUAUAGAAAAGGAAUUGAGCAAGGUUGAGCCAUUUAUUAAACAAGCGUCAUACGCUGUUGCUGAUAUCAGUUCCAAUGCUCUUGCCGAAGUUAGAUCAUUAAGAGCACCAAAGGUACUUGUAAGAGACGUCCUUAAGACUUAUGGGUAUCAAACAUAUAUCUUGGAACAGUAUGAAGACUUUUUUGGCAAAACGUGUGAUCAAAGAUGAAACUAUUAUGAGCUGCCGAACUACAGCUUGGAAGAUUGGCGGCUAGUCUGAAUACCGUGAAAAGUCAUGUUGCACAGCUUCAAGAAUAGGCUGAACAUUCGCGCAGUGCCGCGACUUUGCAACUGAGGACGAAAACAACCGAGGCUACUUUGACUACGGCCAGAGCACUUUUGUCGAAACUUGACAAGAAACAACGUGAUUGGUAGGGACAGUACGAGGAAUUGAUUAAACGUAAAGCAAGAUUGAACGCCGAAAUUGCCAAUGUCGCAUCAUUUUUGAUCUAUCAAGAUCCGGAAAGAGGCGACAAGUAGAAAAGGUCGGCCGUUGAGUUAUUGAUUAGCGAACGAAAAAAAUUACUUUGAUGAAUUCAAGGAUUCUCAGCGGACACAGAAAAUCUCGUUAAUGCUGUAUGGAUUCCUUUGGAACUUAUCUUUCUCGAUCCAUCGGGAGAUGCAAUCAUUUGAUUGAAAUCAAAUCUGGGAUUGAAAUUGAAGAUAACAAAUGCUGAGGAUCCUAAGUUAUUUACCGCUUUGGAAUUAGCUGUUUUGUUAAAGGUAACUCUAGGAAUCGACUAAAGAAAAAGAGAAGCUUUAGAAAGAAAAGAAAAAUUUUCUGGCGAACGAGAUGCUGCUUUAGUAGAUUUAUUAGCGCAAUUGGUUAGAAUCAGAGAGCAAAAUCUUUUGCAAAAACCUCUAAACGACCAUGAUGGCGGCGGUGGUAGUAGUGGUGGCGCUGGUGGUGGCCUUUUAACUUCAUUGGAAAAUACUCAGACAAAGACCAAGGAGAUUUUAAUGGCUCUUGAAGAAAGUUAACAUAGCCUCGAGGAUAUUUCUAAGUAGACUUAAAGCUCUCUUUAAAAUUUUCUAAAUAUAUUGCAAAAUUUCAUUGAUUUCGUUUUAAUAUAAUAUGUACUUAUAUAGAUAUUAUAAUAAAAAGAACAUCUUUU
Long non-coding RNA from Vespa velutina, 2033 nucleotides. RefSeq lists it as uncharacterized. The transcript is spliced from 6 exons. The record is from RefSeq and is a predicted model, not a curated record. Lineage: Eukaryota; Metazoa; Arthropoda; Insecta; Hymenoptera; Vespidae.